Non-coding RNA from Lolium perenne, 2539 nucleotides. Lineage: Eukaryota; Viridiplantae; Streptophyta; Magnoliopsida; Poales; Poaceae. The record is from RefSeq and is a predicted model, not a curated record.
GACCAAGUCACCACCCACGCACGGUCUUUGACCUCUCGUCCCACACAGCCAAAACGGAAAAUUUCCCCUGAUUGAUUCCCCUCGCCGUCGAUGCGCUGCCUCUCUCCGGCCGCCCCUCUCCGGCCGCCUCUCUCCGCCCGCGCUCUCCGCUGUAUCUUCCGUCUGGCGCGCCGCGUCGCCGAUGCCUCCUGCUCCGUUUUCCAAGAUUACUGGCCCAUCCCCAUCCGCGCCGCCUCGAUCUGCCAUGGUCUGCUGGAAACUACCGGUCAGCUCAGCUAUGGCAACUGCCGAUGCCGAUCGUGGAACAUGCCGAUCGUGCUGCUUGUGUUUGUUACUUCCUCCACCAAUACAAAAGUCGGCGUCAGGAGCUCGCCGCGCCCGGGCUUCACGGCGGUGACGACGCUGGCGUGUACGUCUUCCUGUAUAACACGCCCGACGCAUACAAGUCCAACUUCACGCUGGUCGCCAAAUCGAAGCUAUCGAGCCUGGAAAGCCGGAAACGAGAGCCAACACCAACUGCGUCCAGAAGGUUGCGAAGGAGGUGGAUGAGUUCUUGCUGGAGUGUAAUCUGAGUAAUUCACCCCUCUUUAUUUGGUGAUUCUUUGUUAGUUUUUUACCUGAAACUUUAUAUCUCAGUGGUUGUAUGUAAUUUUUUUUUGGAAAACCUAUAUUUAGGAACCAUGAGGUUUGGAUGAACCAUUCAGCGUUCUGGCCAGAGCUUGUGGAUCCCUAAAAUUUGCUGCUAUUUAGCCUUCAUCAAUUUCUUGUGAUUUUCUGUGUUGUACAGAACUCGGAGCUACCGGCCUUGGAGAAAUUCGGUGCGGUGAGCCAAGACCACUUGCAUCUCCGUCAACCUGUCCAGUGGCAAAGUCACUGCAAACCUCAUCUCAAAGGUGAUCUUUCAACCUGGAUCAUCACCUGGAAAAUAAAAAGAACCAAGCUUAUUAGUAGAGAAUAGAGUUGCAGAGUGUGUAGUCAGAAGCACCCUAGCAAAAUUUAGUUUACAGAGUAACUUAAUCAUAGCGGCCACAAUAUACACAUGGAAUUUAAGCAUGAUGUCAUCAGUAUUGCUAUACUAGAGCUUGCAGGCGCAACUUUUAUCAACAAAUAAACGAAGAACUUGUCGGUAUGUCAAGUAAAAUGGAGUUGAGAAUUCUAAAUAGUGCUUUCCUAUUUAGGAAAAACUUAUUCUUUGUCGAGCAUAUGUCCGUAAGUAUGCCACAAAUAAAUUAGUGAAAAUUGAUGGAUUGUUUUUAGUGGAUACAGUGAUGGAAACAUGCAACAUUAAUUGUCCAAGAAAAAAGCUCUAGAUUUGUUACAUGUUUCCACAUUAACUUUUGUGUUACAUUAAUUGUCCAAGAAACGCCCGCUCCCAAUCUUCAGUCCAAGAUCCCAUCGUCGUCCGCCGCCUCCGUUCCCUCCCAAGCCUCUCGUUGCGCCCGACCGACUCAGACGGUCAGACCCCAGCUUCAUCGCGCAGCACCACCGGCAACACACGACGCCACGGCGAUGCCUCCUUAUUCCCCGCCUCGACUCCAACCGCCGGUCUGCCCCGUGCGGGUCAAUCCAUGGCAACCGCCGGUCAGCUCCUUGCGCGGCAACUGCCGAUCGUGGAGGUCAUGGAGAUUACCACCUCCAGCACAAAAUGCUCAAAGCUCCCUCCCCGCCCUUGUUCUCCCCUCGUCUCCCAGUCAGCUCUCUCAAAUCGGGCGACUGGACCAGCUGCUGCCGCCGCCGGGAACCUCCGACCACAGAAUAGGUCGGACGCCGCCGGCAGUGGCCACGCUGCUGCGCCGACCAUCUUGCUCGUAGCCCACCAGAAGACAGGAGGGCGUGCACAGGACGUCUUCCUCCUCCUUACGCCGCAUCUUUGGACGAAGAAGAGUUGGUGGAGGGCGGUGGCUCCAGGGGCAGUGACCAUCGCGAGGAGGCGACUGCAGGGUACACGAAGGAGUUCUACUUCCACAACCUGCUACUCGAAUCCUAUUCCAUCUACUGGUUCAGGAGGAGAUCUUUGAACCUGGACAGUAUUUCUGGAUCCUCUCCUAGAAAAUAAAAGGGGCCAAGCAUCUUCUGUAUCUAUUUUGGAUCCUCUUUCGGUGUUUCCAUCUCUAGAGAGUAAAAUGGUUCGAUCUCACAACUUGCAAUUGAAGUUACAAAGAAUUGCAAUCUACCUAAGCGACGCACUCGCAUUAGCACAACCUGGUUGGGAUGCCGAUAUAUUUUCCUGGCCACGUACAUCACCAGUUGGUAUUCCAGAAAAUUCAGACAGUAACGCGUCUGGUUAUUUCGUGUUUUUCAUUAUGCUCUCAUGGAAUGGUAAAGAAUUGGUUCAUCCAAUAUGCACGGAUGGUUACGAGUUGCGGAAGAACUUUUUGGUACACAUUCUCAAGUGUCAUGAAAAUGAAGCAGAAGAAAAUAUCCCUGCCAUUGUACAUCAAUAUUUGAGAAGCAUCGAGGAGUAGAUAUUAGUUGAUCAAAAAAAUUAGUUCAGUGCUUAUUAUCUUAUUCAAAUGCUAUCAGUUACGUCUGUUCAUGA